Non-coding RNA from Triticum aestivum (bread wheat), 135 nucleotides. The record is from Rfam. Lineage: Eukaryota; Viridiplantae; Streptophyta; Magnoliopsida; Poales; Poaceae.
CGCGUACUCCCUCCGUCCGGAAAUACUUGUCAUCAAAAUGGAUAAAAGAAAAUACAUCUAGACGUAUUUUAAUUUUAGAUACGUAUUUUUUUAUCCAUUUUGAUGACAAGUAUUUUCGGACAAAGGGAGUACUAU